Molecule: long non-coding RNA, 224 nt
Organism: Maniola jurtina (meadow brown)
Lineage: Eukaryota; Metazoa; Arthropoda; Insecta; Lepidoptera; Nymphalidae
Exons: 4
Source: RefSeq, a predicted model, not a curated record
AUUAAAUAAUAUUAGUAAAUAAUAUUGCACCAUCCGCAGUUCCUGAAUCACUAUAGUUUAGGAGUGCUGUACCCUGCAUCAUCAGGGUAUUGAAGAGUUGGAUCCAGAAUUUUUUAUGGGACCACCACGAAAACGUUUACUGUUGAUUAAAAAAACUUAUUGCAAAUCGAUCCUGAAACCUUGAUAAAACGAAUUGAGAGCCACCUUCUUUUUGAAAGUCGGCU